GCCGAGAUUUUAUUUAUUUUUGUCUCAGCUGGGCUUUUAAUUAUUAAAUCUAAUGGACCUUUAUUAAUUUAUUUAAUUGGACUGUGCAGUUUCUUUAUUUAAAAUGGACUACACUAUUUUAAUUAAUUAGACUAAUUAAGUUUGAUUAAUUAUUUUUAAUUUGCAUAAUAAUAUUAUAUUAUUAUUAUGUGCAUAUUUUAAGUAAAUUACUUAUUAUAUGAUAAACAUGAUAUGAUUUGCAUUAUAUUUUGCAAUAGAAAUAUUUAUGAUCUAAUUGGUUUUAUUUAUAAUUCCAAUUAUUAAAGAAAGAUGAGUAAGAAUAUUGUUGGUGUUCUUAACUCAAGAAAAAUAUUUUCAAUUAUUUAUUCAUUGAAUUUUGAAAACCCGGCUAAGUGAAUCAUAGAAUAUUAAGCACUACACCAUGACUUAAGAUUAGCUUCACGAGACCUAUUAAGAAUAGAAUUUCUUGUAGGCUUUGUGACCAGGGGGAUUAGCGCUGCUUUCCCAAGACAGGUUUUUAUGUGUAUGAUCUUCAGGCUUUGCCUAUCCAGGUUGGCUGGCCGGUGCUGACGGGACGGAGCUGAGGCUAGAGUUAAAUUCCUAUGUUAGACUUCCGCUGUAGCAAUUUCUCAUAUCAGUCUUUUGUUUUCCCAACUUAAGAUCUUCAUGUUAAAUUUCAAAUGAUAUACCUGACCGAGCUUAGACUCUUCACUACUAAAUUUAUGCCAAUGAAUGUCGGUUGUCAGAAGCAUGAAACAAAACUUGUGAUCCAAAGGGGCAUAGCCCGACUUUCUAUCCUAUUUCGGGUUUUUACAA
This is a long non-coding RNA of Salvia miltiorrhiza (redroot sage), 816 nucleotides long. RefSeq lists it as uncharacterized. The record is from RefSeq and is a predicted model, not a curated record. Lineage: Eukaryota; Viridiplantae; Streptophyta; Magnoliopsida; Lamiales; Lamiaceae. The transcript is spliced from 2 exons.